GGCGAGUGAAGCGGCAAAAGCUCAAAUUUGAAAUCCUUCGGGAGUUGUAAUUUGUAGGUUGGGAGACCCCGCGGCUAGUGGCACCAAGUCCCUUGGAACAGGGCGCCUUAGAGGGUGAGAGCCCCGUAGGUACCACAACACCGUCUUGUGUCUCCUCUCCAAAGAGUCGAGUUGUUUGGGAAUGCAGCUCAAAGUGGGUGGUAAAUUCCAUCUAAAGCUAAAUACCGGCGAGAGACCGAUAGCGAACAAGUACAGUGAUGGAAAGAUGAAAAGCACUUUGAAAAGAGAGUGAAACAGUACGUGAAAUUGUUGAAAGGGAAGGGCUUGCAAGCAGACACGGCCUUCGUGCCGGGCCAGCAUCGGUUGCUAGGGGUGGAUAAGGAACAAGGAAUGUAGCUCCUCGGAGUAUUAUAGCCUUGCGCGAUACACCCACUGGCGACCGAGGCCUGCGGUAUUCUUUACCUAGGAUGCUGGCGUAAUGGUUGCAAGCCGCCCGUCUUGA
This 502-nucleotide ribosomal RNA is filed under the name Sungouiella intermedia. Its description in RNAcentral is "eukaryotic LSU rRNA". It matches the Rfam family "Eukaryotic large subunit ribosomal RNA", at positions 88 to 657 of the family's 3401-position model. Lineage: Eukaryota; Fungi; Ascomycota; Pichiomycetes; Serinales; Metschnikowiaceae. The record is from RNAcentral.